AAUCCGCCUGCUGCUCAGGGCCCUCCUCAGGGUGCCCAGCUCUCCACCAGCGGCUCCAUCGUCGGCUUGGGACGCAGAUGGCCUCAGAGGUCACCACCGGGGAGCGCAGGGAGGGGUCCACUGAGUGUCCAGGUCCUUGGGGGCCGCUCAGGGCUCGGCUGCCCUUCAUUCCCCCGCUGGUGGGUCCCGGGCCGCUUCCCCUUCGGCUUCCACCCCACCCCAUGAGGGGCCCUUUCCAGUUGUCUUCCCCACAAGCGUUUUCCCAGGGCCUCCGAUGCACCUGCCCUCAGCCUCGGCCCUCCGCCUUCUCUGCCGCCCUCCCCCAGUGCUCACACACCCAGUGCUCACCCGCUGCAUCAGAACCCUGCUCCGCAGGAUACGGCCCUGCCGUCCUGCGGACGCUGCGUCCCCAGCGCCCACAGCAGAAACCGAGGGUUGUUGGUGCCGCGGUGGUCGAUGUCAUGGCACAGGCCGGCUGUCACCAUGGCGAAGGCCUCCAGGAACCGCACCAGGACCUGGGGGAGCCGAGAGGACACAGGGCUCCGGCGGCAAGCGUGUAAGUCCCGCCAGAGCGGCACCUGUGGCUGACUUCACAGUGGAAGCCCUGCUCCGUGCCAUCAUCCCCACACCGUCUCCUGGACUUCCCGAUCUUCCCCAUCCCUGCGUUUCCCACUGGCCUCUGCUGGCCUUCCUGGGUAGGGGCUGCCACAUUGGCACCUAUGGGGUGGAGCCAGGUAGGGCAGGAGCUGAGAACAGCCCCAGCCUUCAGGGGCCGCCCAGCCUCCAUCCGACUGCCUGGCCUCAAGCUGGGAGGAGGACCCCUGGGGAUGCAGCAUAUUUUAAGAUGUUGGUUUUAGGCAUGGACAUUUGAAUGAGCAGAAUGUGUGGGCUGCAGGCUGGGGUGGGAGAACCGAUGUCCGCAGGGCAAGAGAAUGCUGGUCUCUCUUGCCCUGCGGACAUCGCCAGGAGGCUCUUCCUGCGGCCAUUGUGAUUUUUAGGGUCAGAAAAUUAUUUGGAAAUAUUUUUUAUUCUGCAAAUAUUUUCUAUACAUUUUUUCUUGAGUGUUUUCCCUUAGUAUUUAGUAAAACUUCUUUUGAAAAUGCUGGCCUGCUGCACCUGUUCUCAGAGGGGCAUGAGAAAAGAGGAUUCUCUUCCUAGGGCUGUGGGAAGCCCCUUGAGAUGUUGGAAGCAGGGCAGGGCAGGAGAACCCAGGGAGGGCACAGAGCUGUGGACGAGGGCUGGGAAAGCCAUCCCGCCUCCCCAGGGGGUCUCCGAGGAGUGCUGCUGUGGCCAAACCAGGGGGGCCACUUUGUGCUUUCUGUUUAGGUGAUGGGAUGCUUCUAUCUCCUCAGCACCCCACACCAAAUCCCCUGUUAUUGCCAGAUGAUGUGCCUAAUGAUCAAAUUGCUUGGAACUCCUAAUAAUAAAACUUUAAAUCUAUCCAUUC
RNAcentral lists this long non-coding RNA (1447 nucleotides) under Homo sapiens (human). RNAcentral describes it as "non-protein coding lnc-ATP5ME-1:9". Lineage: Eukaryota; Metazoa; Chordata; Mammalia; Primates; Hominidae. The record is from RNAcentral.